This 715-nucleotide ribosomal RNA is filed under the name uncultured beta proteobacterium. RNAcentral describes it as "bacterial SSU rRNA". It matches the Rfam family "Bacterial small subunit ribosomal RNA", at positions 48 to 756 of the family's 1533-position model. The record is from RNAcentral. Lineage: Bacteria; Pseudomonadati; Pseudomonadota; Betaproteobacteria.
CUUACACAUGCAAGUCGAACGGCAGCACGGGUGCUUGCACCUGGUGGCGAGUGGCGAACGGGUGAGUAAUACAUCGGAACAUGUCCUGUAGUGGGGGAUAGCCCGGCGAAAGCCGGAUUAAUACCGCAUACGAUCUACGGAUGAAAGCGGGGGACCUUCGGGCCUCGCGCUAUAGGGUUGGCCGAUGGCUGAUUAGCUAGUUGGUGGGGUAAAGGCCUACCAAGGCGACGAUCAGUAGCUGGUCUGAGAGGACGACCAGCCACACUGGGACUGAGACACGGCCCAGACUCCUACGGGAGGCAGCAGUGGGGAAUUUUGGACAAUGGGCGAAAGCCUGAUCCAGCAAUGCCGCGUGUGUGAAGAAGGCCUUCGGGUUGUAAAGCACUUUUGUCCGGAAAGAAAUCCUUGGUUCUAAUAUAGCCGGGGGAUGACGGUACCGGAAGAAUAAGCACCGGCUAACUACGUGCCAGCAGCCGCGGUAAUACGUAGGGUGCGAGCGUUAAUCGGAAUUACUGGGCGUAAAGCGUGCGCAGGCGGUUUGCUAAGACCGAUGUGAAAUCCCCGGGCUCAACCUGGGAACUGCAUUGGUGACUGGCAGGCUAGAGUAUGGCAGAGGGGGGUAGAAUUCCACGUGUAGCAGUGAAAUGCGUAGAGAUGUGGAGGAAUACCGAUGGCGAAGGCAGGCCCCUGGGCCAAUACUGACGCUCAUGCACGA